CGAAUAAAGUUGUAAGUGGAUAAAUGGUUAAAAAAUUUGAACUAGAGAUAAAAUAUGAUCCAAAUGGAAUUUCAGAGAAUGCAGCUUCACUUAUCCAAGCAGAAACAACAUUUAUAUUGGCUCAACCCUGCUAACUAGAGUAUAUCUGCAGCACCUUUAGUUCGGUAAGUUUCACUUACUCCAUGCAUGAUCUAUGCUAGGACCAUUAACUGCUACUACUUAUUUCCUUUUCCUUUGAAAAAAUAUUGCUGUGUUCAUUUAUAUCAAUUCACAUCAACAUAGCUUGUGAUAUUGAUGUAAGAUGGUCUAGGCUUAGUGUUCUUUAGCUCUAUAAAAUAUUUAUAGGGAGAGCUUAUAUAACUAUAUGUUUGCAUACUACUGAGAGCUCCAUCGAGAGCUCCUAUAUCAUAUUAAAUUAUUAAGAGUUCCUAUAUCCUCAUUGUUCCAAAAAAA
Molecule: long non-coding RNA, 453 nt
Organism: Panicum virgatum (switchgrass)
Lineage: Eukaryota; Viridiplantae; Streptophyta; Magnoliopsida; Poales; Poaceae
Exons: 3
Source: RefSeq, a predicted model, not a curated record